CAGCCGCCGCGGUAAUACGUAGGGUGCGAGCGUUAAUCGGAAUUACUGGGCGUAAAGCGUGCGCAGGCGGUUUUGUAAGACAGGCGUGAAAUCCCCGGGCUCAACCUGGGAAUGGCGCUUGUGACUGCAAAGCUAGAGUGCGGCAGAGGGGGAUGGAAUUCCGCGUGUAGCAGUGAAAUGCGUAGAUAUGCGGAGGAACACCGAUGGCGAAGGCAAUCCCCUGGGCCUGCACUGACGCUCAUGCACGAAAGCAUGGGGAGCAAACAGGAUUAGAUACCCCUGUAGUCCCUGUCUCUUAUAC
This 301-nucleotide ribosomal RNA is filed under the name uncultured bacterium. Its description in RNAcentral is "partial 16S ribosomal RNA". It matches the Rfam family "Bacterial small subunit ribosomal RNA", at positions 509 to 807 of the family's 1533-position model. The record is from RNAcentral.